This 384-nucleotide ribosomal RNA is filed under the name uncultured Treponema sp. RNAcentral's name for it is "bacterial SSU rRNA". It matches the Rfam family "Bacterial small subunit ribosomal RNA", at positions 355 to 731 of the family's 1533-position model. Lineage: Bacteria; Pseudomonadati; Spirochaetota; Spirochaetia; Treponematales; Treponemataceae. The record is from RNAcentral.
CUAAGAAUAUUCCGCAAUGGAGGAAACUCUGACGGAGCAACGCCGCGUGGACGAUGAAGGCCGGAAGGUUGUAAAGUCCUUUUAUAAUUGAGGAAUAAGCGGGACAGGGAAUGGUUCCGCGGUGACUGUAGAUUAUGAAUAAGCACCGGCUAAUUACGUGCCAGCAGCCGCGGUAAUACGGAGGGUGCAAGCGUUAUCCGGAUUUAUUGGGUUUAAAGGGUGCGUAGGCUGUAAGUCAAGUCAGCGGUGAAAAGUCGGGGCUAAACCUUGAGGGUGCCGUUGAAACUGAUUUACUAGAAUGUGGAUGAUGCCGGCGGAAUGUGUCAAGUAGCGGUGAAAUGCAUAGAUAUGACACAGAAGGCCGAUUGCGAAGGCAGCUGGCAA